This 348-nucleotide ribosomal RNA is filed under the name uncultured Methanosaeta sp. RNAcentral describes it as "bacterial SSU rRNA". It matches the Rfam family "Archaeal small subunit ribosomal RNA", at positions 991 to 1338 of the family's 1478-position model. The record is from RNAcentral. Lineage: Archaea; Methanobacteriati; Methanobacteriota; Methanomicrobia; Methanotrichales; Methanotrichaceae.
UGCAUGGCCGCGUCAGUUCGUACUGUGAAGCAUCCUGUUAAGUCAGGCAACGAGCGAGACCCACGCCCACAGUUGCCAGCGUACUCUCUGGAGUGACGGGUACACUGUGGGGACCGCCGCUGCUAAAGCGGAGGAAGGAAUGGGCAACGGUAGGUCAGUAUGCCCCCGAAUAUCCCGGGCUACACGCGAGCUACAAUGGUUGGUACAAUGGGUAUCUACCCCGAAAGGGGACGGGAAUCUCCUAAAACCAAUCUUAGUUCGGAUUGAGGGCUGCAACUCGCCCUCAUGAAGCUGGAAUCCGUAGUAAUCGCGUUUCAACAGAACGCGGUGAAUACGUCCCUGCUCCUU